Molecule: transfer RNA, 92 nt
Filed under: Chloroflexota bacterium
Lineage: Bacteria; Bacillati; Chloroflexota
Description: Chloroflexi bacterium (groundwater metagenome) tRNA-Sec
Rfam family: Selenocysteine transfer RNA
Source: RNAcentral
GGGGGUGGUUGUGUCCCGGUGGGCGCCACAGUCUUCAAAACUGCUGGGAGGCGUUAAACGGCUCCGGUGGGUUCGACUCCCAUCCACUCCCG